AGAGUUUGAUCAUGGCUCAGAGUGAACGCUGGCGGCAGGCCUAACACAUGCAAGUCGAACGGCAGCACAGAGGAGCUUGCUCCUUGGGUGGCGAGUGGCGGACGGGUGAGGAAUACAUCGGAAUCUGCCCAGUCGUGGGGGAUAACUUAGGGAAACUUAAGCUAAUACCGCAUACGACCUACGGGUGAAAGCGGAGGACCGCAAGGCUUCGCGCGAUUGGAUGAGCCGAUGUCGGAUUAGCUAGUUGGCGGGGUAAAGGCCCACCAAGGCGACGAUCCGUAGCUGGUCUGAGAGGAUGAUCAGCCACACUGGAACUGAGACACGGUCCAGACUCCUACGGGAGGCAGCAGUGGGGAAUAUUGGACAAUGGGCGCAAGCCUGAUCCAGCCAUGCCGCGUGAGUGAAGAAGGCCCUCGGGUUGUAAAGCUCUUUUGUCCGGAAAGAAAAGCACUUGGCUAAUACCCAGGUGUCCUGACGGUACCGGAAGAAUAAGCACCGGCUAACUUCGUGCCAGCAGCCGCGGUAAUACGAAGGGUGCAAGCGUUACUCGGAAUUACUGGGCGUAAAGCGUGCGUAGGUGGUUCGUUAAGUCUGAUGUGAAAGCCCUGGGCUCAACCUGGGAAUUGCAUUGGAUACUGGCGGGCUAGAGUACGGUAGAGGGUGGCGGAAUUCCCGGUGUAGCAGUGAAAUGCGUAGAGAUCGGGAGGAACAUCCGUGGCGAAGGCGGCCACCUGGACCAGUACUGACACUGAGGCACGAAAGCGUGGGGAGCAAACAGGAUUAGAUACCCUAGUAGUCC
RNAcentral lists this ribosomal RNA (799 nucleotides) under uncultured bacterium. RNAcentral's name for it is "bacterial SSU rRNA". It matches the Rfam family "Bacterial small subunit ribosomal RNA", at positions 8 to 796 of the family's 1533-position model. The record is from RNAcentral.